GUCUUGACUACCAAAAAAGUGACGGAACGAACGGAAAGAACUAAAACAAAUAAUAUUUUACCGGAAGAAUCCAUUAUUGUUAAAAACUCGGUUUUGAUGGCAAAUAAAAUCCUUCAGGACCUAUUUCCUCGUAGAAAAUUGCAACUGUUGCCGGAUCAGCGGAGUCGGAAGAAAAAUUGUUUACCAAUGAGAACUCCGGAUUCCAGUACAGAAUCGGCCGGGGCUCAUCUCUUGAUGAUAAAAAAGUUAGCUGCUGAAGUAACUGGAUUCGCGUUGCCGAGAGAGCCGGAAUCACCGGUGCAGUUGCUGUUGGUUCGAACGAACAAAACGAGUUCGAAACCAGUGAAAACGCCAGAACGAUGGUAGCCGAUUGUAGAAGCGGUUGCAAUUUUUGUUCUCACAAUCAAAAAGAAUUCAGACUGGCCUGGCCGUAGACUUUAAGGAAAUUUAGUACGGAAAGUGAGACCUGACUUAGGAGCAGGAUUAUGCUUUGCUGUAAAAUUAACCCUUCGUUUCAUAAAGUUACAAAUUUGCAACAAUUAAUUAAAACUGUUCUAAACUUCAUAUUUAGCUAAAACGUCAAUUUUUUUUUCGAUGGGAAUAAUAUUUCUAACUUCAAGAUCACGUUCAACUAAAAAAAAUUACUUUCAGUGUUUAAAGGUACUAAAAAAACCAACUUGAAACUGAAAAAUAUGGAAUGUGGAAAAAGCCUUAUUUUUCAAAUUUUUGGCCUAGUGUAAUUCAUAUUGAGAAUUUUUUUUCGACUCAAAAAAAAUAUUUUCGUAUUCCCACUAAAGUAAUUUACAUAAUAAACAAAAUUUGAGAAUUUUUUUUUGUUUUUUCUCUGAUAUAAUGGGUUUUCAAUAACUGUUGCAAAUUUGCAACACCAUGCAACGGUAGUACCCUAGCUAGUUA
This is a long non-coding RNA of Uranotaenia lowii, 915 nucleotides long. RefSeq lists it as uncharacterized. The record is from RefSeq and is a predicted model, not a curated record. NCBI's taxonomy places the organism in Eukaryota, Metazoa, Arthropoda, Insecta, Diptera, Culicidae. The transcript has 3 exons.